AGAUGGUGGAUAAAGGGGUUGCAUACAAAAGACCAUAAACCUGUAGCAGCAGCUGGAGACCGAGAGCCGCUCAUUCUCUCAGGACUGCGGAGUCCCGCUCAUUCAAAGGAGCCUCUGUUCUCAUUAAUACCUUCGCUUCAUUAUCUUUGUCCAAAGCUUCCUGCUCCACUUUGUCCUGUUUCCCCCCCUCCUCCCGCGAACUGAACUGCCGUCUCCCCCGUCAGUGCGCAGCUGCUGCUGGCACUCCCACAUCUGCUUGUUUCAGCUCGGCGGCCAUGAAGAGGACGCCGAGCCUCGGCUCACGGUGAAAGGCUGGAGACUCGGUCCGAGCAGCGACCUCCUUUAUGCGGCGAAGGCAGUUAAACUGCGCCAACACAGCGGGUAUGCGCAUGUUGAACAGCUUUCUCCCAGGAUGGAGGGACAAGCGGAAGAAAAGGAAGAAGCCAUGAUCUCUUCGCACCCUUUUUAUGCUGCGGGACAGGUGGAACCUGAAGAUCUAUGCUGACCAGCGUUGUACGGGCUGGACUCGUCCCCAGAGCUGCUGACAUGGCACCAAACAGGACUCUGGGAGGAUCCAACGACGGGGCAGGUUAUGUGUUAUCUUUGUUAAAAUUGCUGGAGCAGAUUAAUCUUCACAGAUCAGUUUCUGGCCAUUUAGUUGUCAGUGUCAUGUUUUCGCCCGCGCAUAAUGAAAAGCUCUGACGGCCGACGAAAGAAUAGGAGCCAGAUCCCUUUGGGGAUCUUGAUAGGACAGUUGGGUUGCGUCCCACUUUUCUGCUGCUUUGUGUUGUGUGUCCCUUCUCCAGUUGCACUGAUGAAAAAGCAGAUUUGGCCUCAACCAGAUCCCACUGUGCCCCAGCUGGCGUUCCUCCACCUCCUUUGCUGCGCUGCCUUACAGAACGUGGCGGAGACGUGUGUCGUGAUGCGUCCUCGAAGGAAAACCUUCAGCACUAGUGUGUCUCUCAACCGAGAGACGACUUCUGCUUCUAUUCGUCAGCCAAAAGAAACGAGCUAUUGCUUUGCUGUCAUUGUCCGUUUAAUCACGUGUGGCUGCUGGAAGGGACUUCAGUCAGAGCCGUCUGCUGCUCUGUUAAAGCCGUUUUAUAGCUUAAUUCAGUCCCUCUCCUGUUUCUUUUUCUGUUGAUUAGAUGCAUAGAAACCUGUACUGCAAAUCAGGUAUCGGACCACCUGAGUUACAAUUUUUAUUUAUUUUUUUUGCAAUUGAUCGUUUCUCCCAAGCGUUCACCUGCUUAUGUAACAUUACCUUCUGUGUCUGUUUGUGAAAACUGGCCUGCAGUGUUUCCAGAUCCAUAUAUAUGAGGGGUUUAUAUUCGAGGCCUGUACGAACAAAAAUAUUAUGUGCUGGUGUGUGAAAAUGACGGAUGUUCUCACCUUCUAAUAAUGUGUAAAUCACACAUUUGUGCUUGUUGAGAAACCUCCCGAGCUCAACGCGAAACCAGCUAUUUUUACUGUACUAUUCUGUAGUUGAACUGUAGGGUGUGUGUGUGUGUGUGUGGGAUGAAUGUCUGAGUGUGUGUGUGGGUGUGUGUGUGCGUGUGUGGGAGAGUGCAUGUGUUUCUCUGCAUGCGCUCCAUCUGUGUUAGUGGCAGUACCUGUGCACGUGUGUCUCAUCAGUCCGAUAAGACGUGUCUGUAAUGGGCCUGAAACUGCCGCUACAAUCCUUUUUAGCCACUGGAUGUGCCAGAUAAGGGAUAAAACAUUAUUUACUGAUGAUUCUUAGCAUUUGUUACAGCCUCAUUAAGAAAAAAAAACCAACAAAAAAAACAGUGCUACUUGUGAUUUAGAUCACAAGGAUGUCAUUGGAAAUUAGUGCGGUGCAGUUUUCUGAAUGACGCCUGCCGGCAAAAGUCGAGACGGUUUCAGUGCCAGCAGCCCCGUCUUAAGCAAAUUACAGCAAAUGCUAAUAAUGAUGCGUAAAUAGCCUUUUACCCACGUCUGGAUUGCACUAACAGUAUCUGACUAAUAUCUAACAGUACUAACGUCUGCUAACAGUCGAAGGAGUACUAACCCGUGUUGAGAAUGCAGACGCCUUGGCACUUCUAACCCACUAACUUCCCUUUCUGCUUUAUGCACACUUCAAGAUGCACACUUCUCUUGCAUGAUCCUGCAAUCCUUUUAGAGGUGUCCGACGCGGAGAUCCUAGAGCGAGCAUGGAAAGAAGGGUUUCAGGACCCGGGGAAGGGCAACGUUGAAAACCGAACAGCUAGAAGAAGAGCAGCAGCAGCAGCUGCAGCUGCUGAGGUCAAACUCGGUUGACCACAUACUGAAGCUGGAAAAAUGUGAUCUGAUCCCAAGCGAUUUCAUUUUAAAGGCUAAAUUUGCAUGUUUUAAAAUGAGUUUUUUAUAUAAAGCAUUUUCUCUCUCUGGUUGUAUUCUGUGUGGUCAACCCGGCCUUUUUGUCCCUGCAGGUAGUAACUAACUCCUAAUACUGCUCAUACUAACAAUGUAGAGGCUGUAUCGGACCAUCUGCUACUCUUACUAACAUCUUCCUGUCGUCUGAUUGAUUUCACGUUAAUUAAAGCAUGCGUUGUGGUACCAGUGAUGCUGAUUAUAAGACAGUCAACUGGCUUUCCCUUCCCCCCAGAAAGCAUCAACGUUCCCAAGUGUGUUUUAAGAGCUGAGUGGAAGUUUUAUCUCUUAAAAAGCAACUUAAAUGUUACUAACCAGAGGAGCUUCCAAGAGCUCUGCAAACUAACAAACUAACCUACUAAUAAACUAAUUUUCUAACAUUAACUAACUGAGAUCACCAACUGUGUUUUUAAUGUGACAGUCACCAGAGCACCUUCAAACCGAGGAGCUGCAUCGCUUACUGAAUGUAUUUCAGAGUGUUUGAACGGGUGUUUGAGAAGAAAGAGUGCGUGCUGCAGUCAAAGUCAACAAUAUUUUAAAUACAAUUGUCAUUAAAAAUAUUUUUCAAGGCUACACGUUUACGCCAAAGUUGAUUGGCGUAAACCUGAGCCGUCUUCAUUUUCCCAAGUUGGCGCACAGCUUUUCACAGGAGACAGUUGUGCCGCUCCGCCAAUCCACGCCGUGUCUCACGAUGAGCCUGUGCUGGAGGCUGAAAGCUGCCGUAACGUGGCCAGCAGGUCCACAGGAGGGUCAUGGCAACAUUGUAUGGAGGUAGUUUGCCUUGUCAGGCAGAGAAACAGGAAAAGUCAAUGAAUUUUGCUAGUCACUGAUGACAGCUGUGCCACAAAGUGGAGUGAGAUUUGAUAAAGCAUCCAAAGGGUAGAUACUCUGAUGGUCACAAGGAAUCUGUAGAGGUCAUUGAAGCUCCCAUAUUUGCAAGAAUGUCGUAUUCAAAAUGCCUGACUGCUUAACCCUAGCUGUUUAGAUAUGAGCAACUUUCUGCUAGUCACCUACGAACUGAUGUGCGUUUAGCGUAAAACUUUCAGUUGCAGGCCGCUCCAUCAGGCAGGAAGUGAC
Molecule: long non-coding RNA, 3447 nt
Organism: Poecilia reticulata (guppy)
Lineage: Eukaryota; Metazoa; Chordata; Actinopteri; Cyprinodontiformes; Poeciliidae
Source: RefSeq, a predicted model, not a curated record